ACGAACGCUGGCGGCGUGCUUAACACAUGCAAGUCGAACGGAAAGGCCCUGCUUUUGUGGGGUGCUCGAGUGGCGAACGGGUGAGUAACACGUGAGUAACCUGCCCUUGACUUUGGGAUAACUUCAGGAAACUGGGGCUAAUACAGGAUAGGAGCUCCUGCUGCAUGGUGGGGGUUGGAAAGUUUCGGCGGUUGGGGAUGGACUCGCGGCUUAUCAGCUUGUUGGUGGGGUAGUGGCUUACCAAGGCUUUGACGGGUAGCCGGCCUGAGAGGGUGCCCGGCCACAUGGGGCUGAGUUUACGGCCAGACUCCCACCGGAGGCAGCAAGGGGGAAAAUUUCACAAAGGGCCGAAGGCUGAUGCCGCAACCGCCCCGUGGGGAAGACCGCCCUUCGGUUUGAAAACCCCUUCCGCCUGUGCCAAGCCUUAGGGGACGGAAUUGGGAAAAGAGGAACCGCCAACCAAGUU
Molecule: ribosomal RNA, 466 nt
Filed under: uncultured bacterium
Lineage: Bacteria
Description: partial 16S ribosomal RNA
Rfam family: Bacterial small subunit ribosomal RNA
Source: RNAcentral